This 482-nucleotide ribosomal RNA is filed under the name uncultured bacterium. RNAcentral describes it as "partial 16S ribosomal RNA". It matches the Rfam family "Bacterial small subunit ribosomal RNA", at positions 28 to 523 of the family's 1533-position model. The record is from RNAcentral.
GGUGAACGUUGGCGGCGUGGAUUAGGCAUGCAAGUCGAGCGAGAACCGUAGCAAUACGGGGACAGCGGCGAAAGGGACAGUAAUGUGUAGGUACCUACCCCGGGGUCUGGGAUAGCUGCGGGAAACUGCAGGUAAUACCGGAUAAUGUCUUCGGACCAAAGGUGUGAUUCCACCUUGGGAGGGGCCUGCAUCCUAUUAGCUUGUUGGCGGGGUAACGGCCCACCAAGGCAACGAUGGGUAGCGGGUGUGAGAGCACGACCCGCGUCAUUGGGACUGAGAUACUGCCCAGACAGCUACGGGUGGCUGCAGUCGAGGAUCUUCGGCGAUGGGCGAAAGCCUGACCGAGCGACGCCGCGUGCGGGAUGGAGGCCUUCGGGUUGUAAACCGCUGUCGUAGAGGAGGUAAUGCAGGGGGGUUCUCCCUUCUGUUUGACCUAUUCUAGGAGGAAGGACGGGCUAAGUUCGUGCCAGCCGCCGCCGUAA